AUGCAACUGAGCUUAUCCUUGCUGAGCUCUGCCGGCAGUAAGUGGUGGGUUCCUGCUUGGGGCUCAUGGGUCGGGGCUGCCAGCUCCCCUCCCGCGGUGCCCGCGCCUGCGGGGAGUGAAGAAGUCAGACUGUGGCAGGCAGGGAGAGCACAGGGGGAGGCAGCCUGCAGCAUGGUGCUCACACAGUCCUGGUCAAGCCCGGGCACUGUUGUGCUAAGAGUGGCUUGUAAGUACAAGUUGGUCCAGGACUGGGUCAGUUCUGCAGAAGUGUCCUCCAAAUCCUGGAGCCCUGAUGAAAAAAGCUGCUGGGUUAAAAAGAAAAAAAAAAUCUUUUUUUUUUCCUUCCUUCCUUUUCAGGAUUCCAAAGUCACAGAUUCCGAUUUGACCUUGGGGCCACCUUGGACGCGGGAGGAUUCGCAGGAGACCCUUAGCCUCCGGCCUGAUGGAAGUGCCUUGACUUCAGUCACUGCUACUGACAGGCCUUCUGCUGAGGAGGAGGAGGGAAGCCUUUCUAUAGAGGAGGAAGGCUUUGAGCUGUUGAACUCCACCCAUAAUAAAAUCACUGGCCCCGGCAGGCCAGGGCUUGGCAGGAAUGGCCCACCGGUGGCUGGCAAUUCCAGUGAGUCCAUAGUUGCUGUUACCUCCCUUUCUCCUGAGCAUCGUGAUGCUCGAGUGGCUGAUGGUGCUUUUAUCCUCCCAGGAGUCUCUGCCAAAGUAAACAGACCAGCCGCCAAGAAGGAACGUGCCUCAGAUCCCCAGGAGGAGAAUGUCACCACGGAAAAGCUGAAGGGUGACGUGGGCUCCCGCGUGUGGCUCUCCCCCAGCAAACCCGUCGAUGCCAUUGUUGAUCUGGACGCCCCUUCCUCCUUCUCCAAAUUCUCUCCGUCAGUCAGUCGGACGGCCACCUCUGAUGGAAAUGUACCCAAGGUCCUUCCUGAGCCCCCGGGCAAGGGGGAGGUCAGAAGUACCCUGGAGCAUCCUUCAGAAGCUCCUAUAAGGCCUGAGACUGCCACAAACCCCCGGCAGACAGGGCUCAGCAAAGGUAUCGCACACCGCAAUGUGCCUGGGAGCAAAGCCAGGGGCCUUGCAGACCGCCAAGAGCAGGGAGUCCUGCCAACGAUGGGUGGACAGCAGGUUCGCCUGAAGCCAGGACCGCCGGGGCUGCCAGGACCACCAGGCCUGCCUGUAAGUAGAGGAGGAGAUUGCUGUGGGUGGGAAAGGGUGCAUGGGGAGACGGCCGCAGGCUGGCUGUGUGCAGCGGGACAUCUUGAGGCAGUGGAGCAACAGCCGGAGCAAGUUCAAAGCAUCCCUUAG
This 1314-nucleotide long non-coding RNA is filed under the name Apteryx haastii (Great spotted kiwi). RNAcentral describes it as "lncRNA (ENSAHAG00000015933.1)". The record is from RNAcentral. Lineage: Eukaryota; Metazoa; Chordata; Aves; Apterygiformes; Apterygidae.